RNAcentral lists this transfer RNA (69 nucleotides) under Sphenarium purpurascens. Its description in RNAcentral is "tRNA-His". It matches the Rfam family "tRNA". Rfam says of the family: Transfer RNA (tRNA) molecules are approximately 80 nucleotides in length. Lineage: Eukaryota; Metazoa; Arthropoda; Insecta; Orthoptera; Pyrgomorphidae. The record is from RNAcentral.
GCUUAGAUAUUUUAAUAAAAAUGUUGAUUUGUGAAUUCAUUAUUGUAGGUUUAAAUCCUAUUCUAGGCC